Non-coding RNA from Arvicanthis niloticus (Nile rat), 168 nucleotides. The record is from RefSeq and is a predicted model, not a curated record. Lineage: Eukaryota; Metazoa; Chordata; Mammalia; Rodentia; Muridae.
CUCCUUACGCGGCAGUCGAGAUACCACGAUCAAGAAGGUGGCUGUACCAGGGUGAAGCUUACCAGUCGCACUCCAGGUGUGCUAAACCUUGACCACUUCCCCAAGUACAGAACAACCGACUGCAUAGUUUAUGGUAUUGGGGAGCACCUGUGUUCCUGCUUUUCUCUC